This 311-nucleotide signal recognition particle RNA is filed under the name Callithrix jacchus (white-tufted-ear marmoset). RNAcentral's name for it is "Metazoan signal recognition particle RNA (ENSCJAG00000066797.2)". It matches the Rfam family "Metazoan signal recognition particle RNA". From Rfam's summary of the family: The signal recognition particle (SRP) is a universally conserved ribonucleoprotein. The record is from RNAcentral. Lineage: Eukaryota; Metazoa; Chordata; Mammalia; Primates; Cebidae.
UCUGGGCAUGGUGGCACAUGCCUGUAAUCACAGCUACUCAGGAGGCUGAGGCAGGAGAAUUGCCUGAACCCAGGAGGUGGAGAUUGCGGUGAGCCGAGAUCGCGCCAUUGCACUCCAGCCUGGGUAACAAGAGCGAAACUCCGUCUCAAAAAAAAAAAGAAGUGCUCGAUGUUAGUAAAUAUUUUUUAUUUUAUUUUAUUUUAUUUUUUGAGACGGAGUUUUGCUCUUGUUACCCAGGCUGGAGUGCAAUGGCGCGAUCUCGGCUUACCGCAACCUCCGCAUCCUGGGUUCAGGCAAUUCUCCUGCCUCAG